UAACUUUUGCCUGGAUCGCCCUUUCGGGUUUUCACAUGACGUUUGAACUCUUCACCAUCCAUAGUUGUAAGAAUCAAAGCACCGCAUAAAAAUGAUCUCUUAACAACAUAUGGGCCUUCAUAAUUAGGAGUCCAUUUUCCCCUAGCAUCAGGUUUGAAAGAUAGAAUCUUCUUGAACAAGAGGUCACCUUCUCAAAACACACGAGGUUUGAC
RNAcentral lists this long non-coding RNA (212 nucleotides) under Lathyrus oleraceus (garden pea). RNAcentral's name for it is "Pisum sativum (pea) long non-coding RNA (PSAT_LNC025217)". Lineage: Eukaryota; Viridiplantae; Streptophyta; Magnoliopsida; Fabales; Fabaceae. The record is from RNAcentral.